GAAAUGCGAUAAGUAGUGUGAAUUGCAGAAUUCAGUGAAUCAUCGAAUCUUUGAACGCACAUUGCGCCCUUUGGUAUUCCAAAGGGCAUGCCUGUUCGAGCGUCAUUUGUACCCUCAAGCUUUGCUUGGUGUUGGGCGUCUUGUCUCUAGCUUUGCUGGAGACUCGCCUUAAAGUAAUUGGCAGCCGGCCUACUGGUUUCGGAGCGCAGCACAAGUCGCACUCUCUAUCAGCAAAGGUCUAGCAUCCAUUAAGCCUUUUUUCAACUUUUGACCUCGGAUCAGGUAGGGAUACCCGCUGAACUUACGC
This 307-nucleotide unclassified non-coding RNA is filed under the name plant metagenome. RNAcentral describes it as "partial contains 5.8S ribosomal RNA, internal transcribed spacer 2, and large subunit ribosomal RNA". The stretch from base 1 to 105 matches the Rfam family "5.8S ribosomal RNA", at positions 50 to 154 of the family's 154-position model. The record is from RNAcentral.